RNAcentral lists this non-coding RNA (23 nucleotides) under Arabidopsis thaliana (thale cress). The record is from RNAcentral. Lineage: Eukaryota; Viridiplantae; Streptophyta; Magnoliopsida; Brassicales; Brassicaceae.
UGGGGUUCACUCAAUACAAGUCC